RNAcentral lists this ribosomal RNA (496 nucleotides) under uncultured bacterium. Its description in RNAcentral is "partial 16S ribosomal RNA". It matches the Rfam family "Bacterial small subunit ribosomal RNA", at positions 29 to 507 of the family's 1533-position model. The record is from RNAcentral.
AUGCACGCUGGCGGCGUGCCUAAUACAUGCAAGUCGAGCGAACAGACGAGGAGCUUGCUCCUCUGACGUUCGCGGCGGACGGGUGAGUAACACGUGGAUAACCUACCUAUAAGACUGGGAUAACUUCGGGAAACCGGAGCUAAUACCGGAUAAUAUAUUGAACCGCAUGGUUCAAUAGUGAAAGACGGUUUUGCUGUCACUUAUAGAUGGAUCCGCGCCGCAUUAGCUAGUUGGUAAGGUAACGGCUUACCAAGGCGACGAUGCGUAGCCGACCUGAGAGGGUGAUCGGCCACACUGGAACUGAGACACGGUCCAGACUCCUACGGGAGGCAGCAGUAGGGAAUCUUCCGCAAUGGGCGAAAGCCUGACGGAGCAACGCCGCGUGAGUGAUGAAGGUCUUCGGAUCGUAAAACUCUGUUAUUAGGGAAGAACAAAUGUGUAAGUAACUAUGCACGUCUUGACGGUACCUAAUCAGAAAGCCACGGCUAACUACGUG